RNAcentral lists this ribosomal RNA (824 nucleotides) under Castanedospora pachyanthicola. RNAcentral describes it as "Sporidesmium pachyanthicola partial large subunit ribosomal RNA". It matches the Rfam family "Eukaryotic large subunit ribosomal RNA", at positions 87 to 941 of the family's 3401-position model. The record is from RNAcentral. Lineage: Eukaryota; Fungi; Ascomycota; Dothideomycetes; Capnodiales.
CGGCGAGUGAAGCGGCAACAGCUCAAAUUUGAAAUCUGGCGCAAGCCCGAAUUGUAAUUUGUAGAGGAUGCUUCGAGGCAGCGGCCGGUCUAAGUUCCUUGGAACAGGACGUCAUAGAGGGUGAGAAUCCCGUACGUGACUGGUUGGCACCUCACACGUAGCUCCUUCGACGAGUCGAGUUGUUUGGGAAUGCAGCUCUAAAUGGGAGGUAAAUUCCUUCUAAAGCUAAAUACCGGCCAGAGACCGAUAGCGCACAAGUAGAGUGAUCGAAAGAUGAAAAGCACUUUGGAAAGAGAGUUAAAAAGCACGUGAAAUUGUUGAAAGGGAAGCGCUUGCAACCAGACUUGACGGCGGCGUUCAACCGGUCUUCUGACCGGCCCACUCGUCGCCGGCAGGCCAGCAUCGUCUUGGGCCGCCGGAGAAAGGCGUGAGGAAUGUGGCUCCUCCGGGAGUGUUAUAGCCUCGCGCACAAUACGGCGCGCCUGGGGCGAGGUCCGCGCUUCGGCUAGGAUGCUGGCGUAAUGGUCGUAAGCGGCCCGUCUUGAAACACGGACCAAGGAGUGGACCAUCUGUGCGAGUGUUCGGGCGUCAAACCCCUACGCGUAAUGAAAGUGAACGGAGGCGGGAACCUUUAGGUGCACCGUCGACCGAUCCUGAUGUCUUCGGAUGGAUUUGAGUAAGAGCAUAGCUGGUCCGACCCGAAAGAUGGUGAACUAUGCCUGAAUAGGGUGAAGCCAGAGGAAACUCUGGUGGAGGCUCGCAGCGGUUCUGACGUGCAAAUCGAUCGUCAAAUUUGGGUAUAGGGGCGAAAGACUAAUCGAACC